RNAcentral lists this transfer RNA (69 nucleotides) under Eumecichthys fiski. RNAcentral's name for it is "tRNA-Ala". It matches the Rfam family "tRNA". From Rfam's summary of the family: Transfer RNA (tRNA) molecules are approximately 80 nucleotides in length. Their secondary structure includes four short double-helical elements and three loops (D, anti-codon, and T loops). Lineage: Eukaryota; Metazoa; Chordata; Actinopteri; Lampriformes; Lophotidae. The record is from RNAcentral.
AAGGUCUUAGCUUAAUUAAAGCACCUGUGUUGCAUACAGGAGAUGUGAGGUAAUGUCUCGCAGGUCUUA